RNAcentral lists this ribosomal RNA (210 nucleotides) under uncultured bacterium. RNAcentral's name for it is "partial 16S ribosomal RNA". It matches the Rfam family "Bacterial small subunit ribosomal RNA", at positions 568 to 776 of the family's 1533-position model. The record is from RNAcentral.
CGCGCAGGCGGUCGAUCAAGUCGAGUGUGAAAGCCCCCGGCUCAACUGGGGAGGGUCAUUCGAUACUGAUCGACUCGAAGGCAGGAGAGGGUAGUGGAAUUCCCGGUGUAGUGGUGAAAUGCGUAGAUAUCGGGAGGAACACCAGUGGCGAAGGCGACUACCUGGCCUGUUCUUGACGCUGAGGCGACGAAAGCUAGGGAAGGCAAAACG